RNAcentral lists this ribosomal RNA (279 nucleotides) under uncultured bacterium. RNAcentral's name for it is "partial 16S ribosomal RNA". It matches the Rfam family "Bacterial small subunit ribosomal RNA", at positions 506 to 784 of the family's 1533-position model. The record is from RNAcentral.
UGCCAGCCGCCGCGGUAAUACGGAGGGUGCAAGCGUUGUUCGGAAUUACUGGGCGUAAAGCGCACGCAGGCGGUUUGCUCAGUCCUUUGUGAAAGCCCGGGGCUCAACCCCGGAAUUGCAUAGGAUACUGGCAGACUUGAGACUGGUAGAGGCUAGCGGAAUUCCUGGUGUAGCGGUGGAAUGCGUAGAUAUCAGGAAGAACACCUGUGGCGAAGGCGGCUAGCUGGGCCAGUUCUGACGCUCAUGUGCGAAAGCGUGGGGAGCAAACAGGAUUAGAUA